AGGCCUCUCUCACUGUUGUGGCCUCUCCCGUUGUGGAGCACAGGCUCCGGACGCGCAGGCUCAGCGGCCAUGGCUCACGGGCCCAGCCGCUCCGCGGCAUGUGGGAUCUUCCUGGACCGGGGCAUGAACCCAUGUCCCCUGCAUUCGGCAGGUGGACUCUCAACCACUGCGCCACCAGGGAAGCCCAAAAUAAUGUAAUUUUUAAAGUAUGUCUUUUGCUGUUCUGAUGAGCAGAAUUUAUUAUAGACCUAGUUUGUUGUGUGUAUGAAUGUGUGUGUGUGUGUGGUGGGGGGGGUGAUCUUGGAUACACAGAGUUAAAUUUAACGUUUUAAAUUAAUCACAUGGUUGACAUCUGCUAUGACCAGGGCCCCUUCCCAGGUAUUGCAGAGGACACAGUUGUUAUGAGACACAGACCUUGUUUACAGAAGGCCUACAUCAGAUGUGGAAAAAAGGCUUAAACAUGUGGAAAAGUCAAUGACAAUCCCCAUAGCAAGCUGACAGGUUUUUCCAGAAGUCCUUACAUGAUGUUCCGUUCAUGUAAUCUGAUGACCAGAAGAUGCUUCUUGAGAGGACCUGUCCACUUGAAAACAUCUUAGUCAGUCUUUUUUGGGAUGUUGUCUGUCUUUAGGUAAUAACCGUGUGUCACAGGAAUCUGCAGAGCUUAAUACCUCUGUUGAAGCUCGGGGAUAAGAGCUGCAAAGAUGCACGGAUGGAGAGCUGACGUCAGCCUGGCAGUUGGAAAGGUCUACUGUGACAAGCUGCUCCCAAGGUGCACUAAGCUGUGAGGCAGCACCGCCUUGUCUUUCUCUAGGGAACCCCUGCGUUCCAGACCUAGAUUCCGCACGCACAUCCCUAACCUGGCUCUUAUUAGCAUCGUGACUUGUGUUAGUGUUUAGCACCCUUAUUCAAGAAUUAAAAUCAUACUGCAUAUAAAAUGUGAGAUCAGACAUGCUUCCUCUCCAGUGGUCUAGAGAGUCACACAAAAGAAAUUGAGAAGUAUUUUAGGAGAGGGUGAAAGUAGUGGAGGGGGAAAGAAGUAAUCAUUUCAGGAUUUUCCUAGAGAAAUUAUAAAGGAACUUCGCCAGAAGUCCCAAAGGGAGUAGGUUGAAGUAACUUGCCACUCCGACAAAGGAAAACCAACUGAUUAUGAAUUCAGUUCAGCGAAGGGCCCGGCUCUGCUAGUCUCAUCACUACAGCCCUAGAUGGCCCGGGUUCCUCUUCCUUCAUCACCUGCCCCGAUUGUUUCCUUGUAUUGUGUAUAAUUUUAUGAGCUUUGUGAUUAAGUUGGAGAAAAAUGAGACUACUAUUUAAGGACUCUUAGUAUUGUCUUAAAAUAAUGUAUACUUCUGUCUACUCUAGAUCAUUACUCAGUGUAGAACUUGGAGCUCUUUACCUAAUUCUCAGCUAUUCUAAGACAGCAAAUUUACAAUGUCUUCAAUUGGUCUAAACACAUAUGGACAUUUGGAAGAUGAAAUAUUAUUGCUGCUGUUACUGAAUUUGCUGAAUACUCUUUCUAGUUACAGAGUAAAUCUGACUGUGGAGAUUAAUUAAGCAACAUAUGUUCAGUAAAAUCAUCAUCUUAAGAGUCAGAAAGUUAACACUACAUAUAAAAUUAUGAAUGUUAAAGUAGCACAUAUAAUUUUCCUUGAUCAUAAAUGACUAAUUUUGGUAGAAUUAUAUGCCAUUUUAAAAAUCUGCUUUAUUGCAGUGUAAUCUAUGUACAAUUAAAAUUCACCCAUUUAAA
Lagenorhynchus albirostris (white-beaked dolphin) is the source of this 1744-nucleotide long non-coding RNA. RefSeq lists it as uncharacterized. The transcript is spliced from 2 exons. Lineage: Eukaryota; Metazoa; Chordata; Mammalia; Artiodactyla; Delphinidae. The record is from RefSeq and is a predicted model, not a curated record.